CCCUACGGGGGGCAGCAGUGGGGGAUAUUGCACAAUGGGGGAAACCCUGAUGCAGCGACGCCGCGUGUGGGAAGACGGUCCUCUGGAUUGUAAACCACUGUCCCCAGGGACGAAGAUGACGGUACCUGGGGAGGAAGCUCCGGCUAACUACGUGCCAGCAGCCGCGGUAAUACGUAGGGGGCAAGCGUUAUCCGGAUUUACUGGGUGUAAAGGGAGCGUAGACGGUUAUGCAAGUCUGAAGUGAAAGCCCAAGGCUCAACCAUGGGACUGCUUUGGAAACUGUAAAACUGGAGUGCAGGAGAGGG
Molecule: ribosomal RNA, 305 nt
Filed under: uncultured bacterium
Lineage: Bacteria
Description: bacterial SSU rRNA
Rfam family: Bacterial small subunit ribosomal RNA
Source: RNAcentral